Lynx canadensis (Canada lynx) is the source of this 420-nucleotide long non-coding RNA. RefSeq lists it as uncharacterized. Lineage: Eukaryota; Metazoa; Chordata; Mammalia; Carnivora; Felidae. The record is from RefSeq and is a predicted model, not a curated record. The transcript has 2 exons.
CCGGGAGCGCCCGGCGCGCCCGCUCGGGCACCUCCCCUUAAAGCGGAAGCGGCGCGGACGCGGCGGAGGCUCGUCCCGGCCCUCCGCUCCUGGACUGCGUAAAUAGAUUUCGCGCAAAACUGGAAGGGCCCUCCACGCCUUCCCCUUCUGCCCGUGCUCUGGGUCUCCACGGACAUCUUUGCAGCCUUCCUUACAGAAAUCGUGGAAACGCGCAGUGAACUGAAAGCCCGGUCUGCACACAGGUUGAGUGUUCAGCUAAGCAGAAUAAAUUUUCGUGACAGCUAAGCCCGCUAACUAUGCAUAGCUUCCAGUUCUUGGAGAUGCUCCUGCGUAUGCUGUUAACUCUGCCACCACUAGGUGGCACCAUUCUCUCGUGACCUGCAACCGAGGCUUCCUCGGGGUUCCCAGACCUGACGGCGC